GGGCGCCAUGGGGCGCCGGGCCCGUCCCCGCCUGGGCUCCGGUGCCUCCGCCCUUCUGAGCCCGGCGCCGCCCGCCCCCCGGCGGAGGGAAGGGGAGCCGCGCCCCGGCGCGCUGCCGCGGGAGUAGGAAGGAAGGUGGCGCAGCGGCUUGCGCUCCGGCGCCCGAGACCCUCCGUCCGCGGCGCUUCCUUGCUCGCCCCUUUCCCUCUCCCUCUCCCUUUCCCUUUCCCGCCGCCCUCUCCCUUUCCCUUUCCCCCGCCAUGUUCCUGCGGGAGCCCCCCGCGACGCCGGUCUACCCCUGGGAGCGCGGGGUGGUCCUCGUCUCCUGCGCCCUCUCCAUCCUGGGCUCCUGCCUGCUGGUGGGCACCCAGGCCCGCUGGCCCGAGCUCCGGACGCGGCCGCGCCAGCUGCUCGCCUGCCUCUCGCUGGCCGACCUGCUCUCCGCCGCCGCCUACGCCUACGGGGUGCUGCGGGACUUCCAGGCCUCCUCCUGGGACUGCGUGGCGCAGGGCGCCCUCUCCACCUUCGCCAACACCAGCUCUUUCUUCUGGACGAUGGGCAUCGCGCUGGACCUCUACCUCACCAUCGUCCGCGGCUCCGCCGGCGCCGGGCUGCUCUGCUGCUUCCACGUGGUGAGCUGGGGGGUUCCCCUUGGCAUCACGGCAGCAGCUGUGGGCUUGACAAAGAUCGGUUACGAUGCAUCUGACGUCUCGGUUGGCUGGUGCUGGAUUGACAUCAAUGCGCAAGACCGGCUUCUCUGGAUGCUGCUGGGAGGGAAGUUGUGGGAAAUUCUUGCCUAUGUGACCUUGCCAAUUUUUUACGUCCUGAUCAAGAAGCACAUCAACCAAGCGCGCACAGCCCUCUCUGAGUAUCGCCCCAUUUUGUCGAGGACCCCGUCUUCCCAGCUGAGAACGUCCAUAGCAGACAAGAAGCUGACCUUAAUCCCAAUUAUUUUCAUCUUUCUGCGCAUCUGGAGUACCAUCCGGUUUGUCCUGACCCUUUGUGGUUCCCCUGCAGUCCAAAACUGGCUCCUGGUGAUCCUUCACGGUGUCGGAAACACAUUUCAAGGAGGGGCAAAUUGCAUCCUGUUUGUUUUUUGCACACGGGUGGUCCGGAAUAAGCUGUCUUCUUUGUUGUGCUGCUGGCAAUUUGAGAAUCCAGAGCCUCCCCCGCCGAGUCUGGAGACCAGUUUCCAGACUGAGGCUCCCCCCUGCAAAGACUGGGAAGUGCAAGGCGGUAAUAGCACAGGGGCAGACUUCUCCAGCACCUGAACCUCAGAGGGCUGCAUCGUCAUGGAAAACACCUCCUUGCCUGGUGCAGUUUUAACCGUAACUGAAAAGAUCCCAAGUGCCUGUAAAGGAAGAUAUUCAUUCAACUAAGGGGGAAAAAAUCCAUAGACUUUUAGACUUUUUACUGAAAAAGGAAAUCACUGAACUCACAACAAAAAUGCCUGGAUCUGAAUUCCUCCAAAAAAACUUUCUUAUUUCUCAGGGCUUUUUUUUUUUUCCUGGAAGACGCUAUGAAGACCUGUUUCUACUUUUAAUUCAAGAUUUAAAAAAAGAGAGAGAGAGAGAGAAGAAAAUAUUGAGAUAAAUUUUAAGGAACAAGAUUAUCCAGGCUCAAGGCUGCCUAAAAACCUUGUUUGGAAAUCAGACAGAAGAGAGGGGGGGAGACUCCAAGUCCCAUCAUCCUCCGCAGGGAUCAGAGCAGUUGGGUGAAGCCAUCUUCUUAAAAUGAUGUGUCUGAGAUUGGUUUAGAUCAAGGUAAUUGAGGGUGGUACAGUCUUCACGUGCGUGGGGACUGUAAUAGCGUGGAUAUCAAUAAAUUUCGAUUUUACUGCAGCACAGCCCCAGCAGAGUGAUUAAACCUUGACUCAGAAGUUUCUUGGUUCCAGCUGAUACCCCCACUUUUUCAGACAGUGCCUGUUGCCUUUGAAUAAAUGCUGCAAAAUUUU
Candoia aspera is the source of this 1954-nucleotide RNA transcript. It is a transcript of the gene named G protein-coupled receptor 157, with no coding region annotated. The transcript is spliced from 5 exons. The record is from RefSeq and is a predicted model, not a curated record. NCBI's taxonomy places the organism in Eukaryota, Metazoa, Chordata, Lepidosauria, Squamata, Candoiidae.